This 119-nucleotide unclassified non-coding RNA is filed under the name Homo sapiens (human). Its description in RNAcentral is "partial NAMA". Lineage: Eukaryota; Metazoa; Chordata; Mammalia; Primates; Hominidae. The record is from RNAcentral.
UGUCUGGAGAUUUCGAGCUGUUAACAUAGAGAGUGGCUUCUCAGGCUUCUCUGCAGCAUGGGUGUUCCUGCCUUGGCCAGAGCCGAAAUCCCAKARCAGUGAAAGAGGAGCCAGUGUCA